UACGUAGGUGGCAAGCGUUGUCCGGAUUUAUUGGGUUUAAAGGGUGCGUAGGCGGCCAAGCAGGUCCGUUGUGAAAACUGGAGGCUUAACCUCCAGACGUCGACGGAAACCGCGCGGCUAGAGUCCGGAAGAGGAGAGUGGAAUUCCUGGUGUAGCGGUGAAAUGCGCAGAUAUCAGGAAGAACACCAAUGGCGAAGGCAGCUCUCUGGGACGGUACUGACGCUGAGACGCGAAAGCUAGGGGAGCAAACAGG
This 253-nucleotide ribosomal RNA is filed under the name uncultured bacterium. RNAcentral describes it as "partial 16S ribosomal RNA". It matches the Rfam family "Bacterial small subunit ribosomal RNA", at positions 524 to 776 of the family's 1533-position model. The record is from RNAcentral.